Molecule: non-coding RNA, 88 nt
Organism: Earliella scabrosa
Lineage: Eukaryota; Fungi; Basidiomycota; Agaricomycetes; Polyporales; Polyporaceae
Source: the annotation of a GenBank genome assembly
GGCCUAAUGGUCUAGAAGUAUGAUACUCGCUUUGGGUUACGCGGCUCGAUAGUGCGAGUGGUCCUGGGUUCAAUUCCCAGUUAGGCCC